AGUCACUGACAUUAGAUACCCUGUAGUCCAGGGUGUAAACGCUGCAGACUUGGUGUUGGAAGCCCGUUUGGGGCAUUCAGUGCCGGAGAGAAGUUGUUAAGUCUGCUACUUGGGAGUACGUCCGCAAGGAUGAAACUUAAAGGAAUUGGCGGGGAGCACCGCAACGGGAGGAGCGUGCGGUUUAAUUGGAUUCAACACCGUAAACUCACCAGGGAAGACUGUUACAUGAAGGCCGAGAUGAAGACUCUGCUAGAUUUUCAG
RNAcentral lists this ribosomal RNA (261 nucleotides) under uncultured archaeon. RNAcentral's name for it is "partial 16S ribosomal RNA". It matches the Rfam family "Archaeal small subunit ribosomal RNA", at positions 718 to 982 of the family's 1478-position model. The record is from RNAcentral.